RNAcentral lists this transfer RNA (58 nucleotides) under Candidatus Phocaeicola gallinarum. RNAcentral's name for it is "tRNA-Lys". It matches the Rfam family "tRNA", at positions 9 to 64 of the family's 71-position model. Rfam says of the family: Transfer RNA (tRNA) molecules are approximately 80 nucleotides in length. Their secondary structure includes four short double-helical elements and three loops (D, anti-codon, and T loops). Further hydrogen bonds mediate the characteristic L-shaped molecular structure. tRNAs have two regions of fundamental functional importance: the anti-codon, which is responsible for specific mRNA codon recognition, and the 3' end, to which the tRNAs corresponding amino acid is attached (by aminoacyl-tRNA synthetases). tRNAs cope with the degeneracy of the genetic code in two manners: having more than one tRNA (with a specific anti-codon) for a particular amino acid; and 'wobble' base-pairing, i.e. permitting non-standard base-pairing at the 3rd anti-codon position. The record is from RNAcentral. Lineage: Bacteria; Pseudomonadati; Bacteroidota; Bacteroidia; Bacteroidales; Bacteroidaceae.
AGCUCAGCAGGUAGAGCACAACACUUUUAAUGUUGGGGUCCUGGGUUCGAGCCCCAGC